AUGUUUAUGAGAUUUUUGGAGUUACCUUUUCUUUCUUGUUUACUCAUACGGGCUGUCAUGGCUUACCGAGUUUGGUGUUGUUGCAUUCCCGGUACACUAUUCAAAUUGUGUAGCGGGUAAUCUCACAGGUCAGGAGAAUCAGGGCAGUGAUCGUGCGGUUUAGAGUAUUAGUAUUGGAUUUAUAGCAUUUGUUUUGUGAGGAGAAUUAUACUCUUUGAGUUUUAUAAUUUGAUUUGGUGAGAGUGUGCUGUAAUAAGUAGCUUGAGGAUUUGGUUUAUGUAAUAUCAAGAGGUGUAAUUAGUGGUUGCUUCUGAGAGAAAAAUUCAGAACGUAUUUGUAUUGUUAUUAGUCAUGUUCCGAAUUUGAAUCCUUAUUUCAAAAUUCGGGGUGU
This 391-nucleotide long non-coding RNA is filed under the name Rosa chinensis. RNAcentral describes it as "sRNA RchiOBHm_Chr1g0382161". The record is from RNAcentral. Lineage: Eukaryota; Viridiplantae; Streptophyta; Magnoliopsida; Rosales; Rosaceae.